GUGGUCAAGAGAAGAAGGGCUCAUGGUGGAUACCUAGGCACACAGAGGCGAAGAAGGACGUGGUUACCAACGAAAAGCUCCGGGGAGCAGGAAGCAUGCAGUGAGCCGGAGAUGUCCGAAUGGGGCAACCCAAUAACGAAAGAGCGAACCCAGUGAAUUGAAACAUCUUAGUAGCUGGAGGAAAAGAAAUCAAUAGAGAUUCCCUCAGUAGUGGUGAGCGAAAGGGGAAGAGCCUAAACCAAAGUGCAUGCAUUUUGGGGUAGUGGGACAGCGAAAUCGAAUCUAGCGGUUAGGCGAAGCAGCGAAAUACUGCACCAAAGAAGGUGAAAGUCCUGUAGUCGAAAGCUUAAGGAUAGUAGCUGAAUCCCGAGUAGCAUGGGGCACGAGGAAUCCCAUGUGAAUCAGCGAGGACCAUCUCGUAAGGCUAAAUACUACUGUGUGACCGAUAGCGAACAAGUACCGCGAGGGAAAGGUGAAAAGAACCCCGUUGAGGGGAGUGAAAUAGAACAUGAAACCGUGAGCCUACAAGCAGUGGGAGUCCGAUUCAACGGAUGACCGCGUGCCUGUUGAAGAAUGAGCCGGCGAGUUAUAGGUACUGGUAGGUUAAGUUUGUUGACGAAGCCAAAGCGAAAGCGAGUCUGAAAAGGGCGCGUUAUCAGUAUUUAUAGACCCGAACCCGGGUGAUCUAACCAUGUCCAGGAUGAAGCUUGGGUAACACCAAGUGGAGGUCCGAACCGACCGAUGUUGAAAAAUCGGCGGAUGAGGUGUGGUUAGGGGUGAAAUGCCAAUCGAACUCGGAGCUAGCUGGUUCUCCCCGAAAUGUGUUGAGGCGCAGCGGUAACGGAAAAACUGAGGGGUAAAGCACUAUUUCGGUGCGGGCUGGGAGACCGGUACCAAAUCGAGAUAAACUCUGAAUACUCAGUGGAGAGUUACCAGUGAGACGGUGGGGGAUAAGCUUCAUCGUCAAGAGGGAAACAGCCCAGACCACCAGCUAAGGUCCCGAAAUCAUCGCUAAGUGGCAAAGGAGGUGGGAGUGCAAAGACAACCAGGAGGUUUGCCUAGAAGCAGCCAUCCUUGAAAGAGUGCGUAAUAGCUCACUGGUCAAGCGCUCCUGCGCCGAAAAUGAAUGGGACUAAGCGAUGUACCGAAGCUGUGGAUUUAGCAAGCCAUCAUUUAGCAUACAGCCUCUUUUGGAAGACAGAGGGAGAGAGUGAGAGAGUGAGAGAGUGAGGGAACGAAGAAUAGUUCCUCCCUCCCUCCCUCCCUCCUUCACUCCCUCGCUCCGCUCCAGAAGGUUGCAUGCUAAGUGAUGAGAUUGUUAACUGGUAGGGGAGCGUUCCGUGGUAGGUAGAAGCAGUAGCGGCAAGCAGCUGUGGACGAGACGGAAGUGAGAAUGUCGGCUUGAGUAGCGCAAACUAGGGUAAGAAUCCCUAGCCCCGAAACCCCAAGGGUUCCAGAGGCAGGUUCGUCCACUCUGGGUUAGUCGGGACCUAAGGCGAGGCCGAAAGGCGUAGUCGAUGGACAGAGGGUGAACAAUCCCUCACUUUGAUGUGGGAGUCAACGUAAGACGCAUGAAAGAUAGCAACGCCCUGAAUGGAUUGGGAGGUGUCUAAGGAUGCCGAGUUGUAAAUGAUAGUGCCAAGAAAAGCUACGUUGGUGAUGAAAACAUCAAACCCGUACUCGAAACCGACACAGGUGGGGAAGUUGAGAAAACUCAGGGGCGCGAGAUAACUCUCUCUAAGGAACUCGGCAAAAUGGCCCCGUAACUUCGGAAGAAGGGGUGCCCACGCAAGUGGGUCGCAGUGAAGAGAUCCAGGCGACUGUUUACCAAAAACACAGGUCUCCGCAAACAAGCAAUUGGAAGUAUGGGGGCUGACGCCUGCCCAGUGCCGGAAGGUUAAGGAAGUUGGUCAGGGGGAAACCCUAAAGCUGACGACUGAAGCCCCGGUGAACGGCGGCCGUAACUAUAACGGUCCUAAGGUAGCGAAAUUCCUUGUCGGGUAAGUUCCGACCCGCACGAAAGGCGUAACGAUCUGGAUGGUGUCUCAGAGAGAGACUCGGCGAAAUAGGAAUGUCUGUGAAGAUACGGACUACCUGCACCAGGACAGAAAGACCCUAUGAAGCUUUACUGUAGUCUGGAAUUGGGUCCGGGCUUGGCUUGCGCAGGAUAGGUGGGAGGCACUGAAGUAUCCCUUGUGGGGGAUACCGAGCCAACGGUGAGAUACCACUCUGGCGAAGCUAGGAUUCUAACCCACGAUUGUCUAUCCAAUCGGGAGACAGUUUCAGAUGGGCAGUUUGACUGGGGCGGUCGCCUCCUAAAAGGUAACGGAGGCGCACAAAGGUUCCCUCAGCACGCUUGGAAACCGUGCGUUGAGUGUAAAGGCAAUAAGGGAGCUUGACUGUAAGAGCUACAACUCGAACAGGGUGGAAACACGGUCUUAGUGAUCCGACGGCGCAGUAUGGAAUGGCCGUCGCUCAACGGAUAAAAGUUACUCUAGGGAUAACAGGCUGAUCUCCCCCAAGAGUCCACAUCGACGGGGAGGUUUGGCACCUCGAUGUCGGCUCAUCGCAACCUGGGGCGGAAGUACGUCCCAAGGGUUGGGCUGUUCGCCCAUUAAAGCGGUACGUGAGCUGGGUUCAGAACGUCGUGAGACAGUUCGGUCCAUAUCCGGUGCAGGCGCAAGAGCAUUGAGAGGAGUCCUCCUUAGUACGAGAGGACCGGGAGGAACGCACCGCUGGUGUACCAGUUAUCACGCCCGUGGUAGACGCUGGGUAGCCAAGUGCGGAGCGGAUAACCGCUGAAAGCAUCUAAGUGGGAAGCCCACCUCAAGAUGAGUGCUCUGACUACUACAAGUAGGUAAGGUCACAGGUAGAACACCUGUUCAUAGGCAGUCGGUGUACGUGCAGUAAUGUACUUAGCCAAGUUGUCCUAACAGACCGAGGUCUUGACCUC
RNAcentral lists this ribosomal RNA (2953 nucleotides) under Tolypothrix bouteillei VB521301. Its description in RNAcentral is "23S ribosomal RNA". It matches the Rfam family "Bacterial large subunit ribosomal RNA". The record is from RNAcentral. Lineage: Bacteria; Bacillati; Cyanobacteriota; Cyanophyceae; Nostocales; Tolypothrichaceae.